GGAGAGGUGUCAGAGCGGUCGAAUGAGCACGCUUGGAAGGCGUGUGGCGAUCGUAAGAUUGCCCUAGGGUUCGAAUCCCUACCUCUCCGCCA
RNAcentral lists this transfer RNA (92 nucleotides) under Candidatus Omnitrophota bacterium. RNAcentral describes it as "Candidatus Omnitrophica bacterium tRNA-Ser". It matches the Rfam family "tRNA". Rfam says of the family: Transfer RNA (tRNA) molecules are approximately 80 nucleotides in length. Their secondary structure includes four short double-helical elements and three loops (D, anti-codon, and T loops). The record is from RNAcentral. Lineage: Bacteria; Pseudomonadati; Candidatus Omnitrophota.